AUAGAUAACUGCUGAAAAGGUGGUUUAGUAGGUAGAAUGGAUGAAUAGUCAAAAAAAGUAGUUAUCAUCUGUAGUAUAGGAGUUGGUAUCUCGGGGUAGUAUAAGGAGGAUGGGAGAGGGGAAGAAAAUGCCAGACUAUGAGAGUUGUGAGCCGAGGGCCAAACUGUGAGAGUCGUAAGCCGAGGGCAAGACUGUGAAAGUUGUGAGCCGAGGUAAGCUUGGUGCUACCUCUUUUCUUUUGUUUGUUAUUUUCUUUGAAUAAGAGGAUUGAAAGUUUCUGAAUAUUGUGAAGUGAAUUAUGGAAUAGAAAUGUGAUUGGUAUUAUUUGAGAAGAAGAAAGAUUGAAUGCUGAAAUCUGAUUGUAGUUCAGCAGAGAGAAUGAGUCUAUGUUUGUGUGAAAUACUGCAAUGUGAAUGGGAGUUCUGUGUAAAGAAUUCGAGUGAUUGGAAUGAGGGUAAUUGUGUACUGAAAGCUGUGAGGGCACAAUAUUACAGUUGGAGAUUAUGAGGGUGAAUAUAUUGGUGGAAAUAGCAAUUAUUGGUAUGACUGAAUUGCUGUAAGGAAGAGACCGAUAAGAUGAAGGAGGAGAUUAUAGUUUCCUUGUGUGUUCAGAUAUUAGAAAUAGAGACAAUAUAUUUAGGAGGUAAUUGAUUGUAUGACCCUAACGUGAACGCUUAAGCAACUAGUCAUUCCUCGUGUUCAAAUCUCC
This 709-nucleotide long non-coding RNA is filed under the name Physcomitrium patens. RNAcentral's name for it is "long non-coding RNA (PPAT_LNC008842)". The record is from RNAcentral. Lineage: Eukaryota; Viridiplantae; Streptophyta; Bryopsida; Funariales; Funariaceae.